GACGAACGCUGGCGGCGUGCUUAACACAUGCAAGUCGAACGGAAAGGCCCUGCUUUUGUGGGGUGCUCGAGUGGCGAACGGGUGAGUAACACGUGAGUAACCUGCCCUUGACUUUGGGAUAACUUCAGGAAACUGGGGCUAAUACCGGAUAGGAGCUCCUGCUGCAUGGUGGGGGUUGGAAAGUUUCGGCGGUUGGGGAUGGACUCGCGGCUUAUCAGCUUGUUGGUGGGGUAGUGGCUUACCAAGGCUUUGACGGGUAGCCGGCCUGAGAGGGUGACCGGCCACAUUGGGACUGAGAUACGGCCCAGACUCCUACGGGAGGCAGCAGUGGGGAAUAUUGCACAAUGGGCGGAAGCCUGAUGCAGCAACGCCGCGUGCGGGAUGACGGCCUUCGGGUUGUAAACCGCUUUCGCCUGUGACGAAGCGUGAGUGACGGUAAUGGGUAAAGAAGCACCGGCUAACUACGUGCCAGCAGCCGCGGUGAUACGUAGGGUGCGAGCGUUGUCCGGAUUUAUUGGGCGUAAAGGGCUCGUAGGUGGUUGAUCGCGUCGGAAGUGUAAUCUUGGGGCUUAACCCUGAGCGUGCUUUCGAUACGGGUUGACUUGAGGAAGGUAGGGGAGAAUGGAAUUCCUGGUGGAGCGGUGGAAUGCGCAGAUAUCAGGAGGAACACCAGUGGCGAAGGCGGUUCUCUGGGCCUUUCCUGACGCUGAGGAGCGAAAGCGUGGGGAGCGAACAGGCUUAGAUACCCUGGUAGUCCACGCUGUAAACGGUGGGUACUAGGUGUGGGGUCCAUUCCACGGGUUCCGUGCCGUAGCUAACGCUUUAAGUACCCCGCCUGGGGAGUACGGCCGCAAGGCUAAAACUCAAAGGAAUUGACGGGGCCCCGCACUAGCGGCGGAGCAUGCGGAUUAAUUCGAUGCAACGCGUAGAACCUUACCUGGGUUUGACAUGGAUCGGGAGCGCUCAGAGAUGGGUGUGCCUCUUUUGGGGUCGGUUCACAGGUGGUGCAUGGCUGUCGUCAGCUCGUGUCGUGAGAUGUUGGGUUAAGUCCCGCAACGAGCGCAACCCUUAUUCACUGUUGCCAGCACGUUAUGGUGGGGACUCAGUGGAGACCGCCGGGGUCAACUCGGAGGAAGGUGGGGAUGACGUCAAGUCAUCAUGCCCCUUAUGUCCAGGGCUUCACGCAUGCUACAAUGGCUGGUACAGGGAGUGGCGAGCCUGUGAGGGUGAGCGAAUCUCGGAAAGCCGGUCUCAGUUCGGAUUGGGGUCUGCAACUCGACCUCAUGAAGUCGGAGUCGCUAGUAAUCGCAGAUCAGCAACGCUGCGGUGAAUACGUUCCCGGGGCU
RNAcentral lists this ribosomal RNA (1346 nucleotides) under uncultured bacterium. RNAcentral describes it as "bacterial SSU rRNA". It matches the Rfam family "Bacterial small subunit ribosomal RNA", at positions 28 to 1381 of the family's 1533-position model. The record is from RNAcentral.